Long non-coding RNA from Ornithorhynchus anatinus (platypus), 240 nucleotides. RefSeq lists it as uncharacterized. The transcript is spliced from 2 exons. The record is from RefSeq and is a predicted model, not a curated record. Lineage: Eukaryota; Metazoa; Chordata; Mammalia; Monotremata; Ornithorhynchidae.
UGGUCCCUAGAGUCAUCAGAUUUUUUGAGUCCCUACUGAGUGUGAACUUCUGUGUUAUAGAACCAAUAUUUGCCAACUAUUUUUCAAGAUUCCUGUCUACUACAGACAGAUGGUGGAGUACAGAACCUGCCAAUCAGGCAAGAGAACAGUGAAAGCAGAAAAUGAAGAAAUCCUCCAAGGACACUGCAUCAGUCCAAGGGCAGUGUUUAUUAAACCUGAAAAAUAGCAUGAUGAUACAAA